Molecule: non-coding RNA, 72 nt
Organism: Vollenhovia emeryi
Lineage: Eukaryota; Metazoa; Arthropoda; Insecta; Hymenoptera; Formicidae
Source: the annotation of a RefSeq genome assembly
UCCUCGGUAGCUCAGUGGUAGAGCAUUUGGCUGUUAACCAAAUGGUCGCUGGUUCGAACCCGGCCCGGGGAG